GGUUAAGCGACUAAGCGUACACGGUGGAUGCCCUGGCAGUCAGAGGCGAUGAAGGGCGUGCUAAUCUGCGAUAAGCGCCGGUAAGGUGAUAUGAACCGUUAUAACCGGCGAUACCCGAAUGGGGAAACCCAGUGUGAUUCGUCACACUAUCAUUAACUGAAUCCAUAGGUUAAUGAGGCGAACCGGGGGAACUGAAACAUCUAAGUACCCCGAGGAAAAGAAAUCAACCGAGAUUCCCCCAGUAGCGGCGAGCGAACGGGGAGGAGCCCAGAGCCUGAAUCAGCAUGUGUGUUAGUGGAAGCGUCUGGAAAGGCGCGCGAUACAGGGUGACAGCCCCGUACACAAAAGCGCAUGUGCUGUGAGCUCGAUGAGUAGGGCGGGACACGUGGUAUCCUGUCUGAAUAUGGGGGGACCAUCCUCCAAGGCUAAAUACUCCUGACUGACCGAUAGUGAACCAGUACCGUGAGGGAAAGGCGAAAAGAACCCCGGCGAGGGGAGUGAAAAAGAACCUGAAACCGUGUACGUACAAGCAGUGGGAGCACAGGUUUACCUGUGUGACUGCGUACCUUUUGUAUAAUGGGUCAGCGACUUAUAUUCUGUAGCAAGGUUAACCGUAUAGGGGAGCCGUAGGGAAACCGAGUCUUAACCGGGCGUUAAGUUGCAGGGUAUAGACCCGAAACCCGGUGAUCUAGCCAUGGGCAGGUUGAAGGUUGGGUAACACUAACUGGAGGACCGAACCGACUAAUGUUGAAAAAUUAGCGGAUGACCUGUGGCUGGGGGUGAAAGGCCAAUCAAACCGGGAGAUAGCUGGUUCUCCCCGAAAGCUAUUUAGGUAGCGCCUCGUGAAUUCAUCUCCGGGGGUAGAGCACUGUUUCGGCUAGGGGGCCAUCCCGGCUUACCAACCCGAUGCAAACUGCGAAUACCGGAGAAUGUUAUCACGGGAGACACACGGCGGGUGCUAACGUCCGUCGUGAAGAGGGAAACAACCCAGACCGCCAGCUAAGGUCCCAAAGUCAUGGUUAAGUGGGAAACGAUGUGGGAAGGCCCAGACAGCCAGGAUGUUGGCUUAGAAGCAGCCAUCAUUUAAAGAAAGCGUAAUAGCUCACUGGUCGAGUCGGCCUGCGCGGAAGAUGUAACGGGGCUAAACCAUGCACCGAAGCUGCGGCAGCGACACUGUGUGUUGUUGGGUAGGGGAGCGUUCUGUAAGCCUGUGAAGGUGUGUCGUGAGGCAUGCUGGAGGUAUCAGAAGUGCGAAUGCUGACAUAAGUAACGAUAAAGCGGGUGAAAAGCCCGCUCGCCGGAAGACCAAGGGUUCCUGUCCAACGUUAAUCGGGGCAGGGUGAGUCGACCCCUAAGGCGAGGCCGAAAGGCGUAGUCGAUGGGAAACAGGUUAAUAUUCCUGUACUUGGUGUUACUGCGAAGGGGGGACGGAGAAGGCUAUGUUGGCCGGGCGACGGUUGUCCCGGUUUAAGCGUGUAGGUGUGUGUUCCAGGUAAAUCCGGUUCACUUUAACACUGAGGCGUGAUGACGAGGCACUACGGUGCUGAAGCAACAAAUGCCCUGCUUCCAGGAAAAGCCUCUAAGCAUCAGGUAACAUCAAAUCGUACCCCAAACCGACACAGGUGGUCAGGUAGAGAAUACCAAGGCGCUUGAGAGAACUCGGGUGAAGGAACUAGGCAAAAUGGUGCCGUAACUUCGGGAGAAGGCACGCUGACACGUAGGUGAAGUGAUUUACUCAUGGAGCUGAAGUCAGUCGAAGAUACCAGCUGGCUGCAACUGUUUAUUAAAAACACAGCACUGUGCAAACACGAAAGUGGACGUAUACGGUGUGACGCCUGCCCGGUGCCGGAAGGUUAAUUGAUGGGGUCAGCGCAAGCGAAGCUCCUGAUCGAAGCCCCGGUAAACGGCGGCCGUAACUAUAACGGUCCUAAGGUAGCGAAAUUCCUUGUCGGGUAAGUUCCGACCUGCACGAAUGGCGUAAUGAUGGCCAGGCUGUCUCCACCCGAGACUCAGUGAAAUUGAACUCGCUGUGAAGAUGCAGUGUACCCGCGGCAAGACGGAAAGACCCCGUGAACCUUUACUAUAGCUUGACACUGAACAUUGAGCCUUGAUGUGUAGGAUAGGUGGGAGGCUUUGAAGCGUGGACGCCAGUCUGCGUGGAGCCGACCUUGAAAUACCACCCUUUAAUGUUUGAUGUUCUAACGUGGACCCGUAAUCCGGGUUGCGGACAGUGUCUGGUGGGUAGUUUGACUGGGGCGGUCUCCUCCUAAAGAGUAACGGAGGAGCACGAAGGUUGGCUAAUCCUGGUCGGACAUCAGGAGGUUAGUGCAAUGGCAUAAGCCAGCUUGACUGCGAGCGUGACGGCGCGAGCAGGUGCGAAAGCAGGUCAUAGUGAUCCGGUGGUUCUGAAUGGAAGGGCCAUCGCUCAACGGAUAAAAGGUACUCCGGGGAUAACAGGCUGAUACCGCCCAAGAGUUCAUAUCGACGGCGGUGUUUGGCACCUCGAUGUCGGCUCAUCACAUCCUGGGGCUGAAGUAGGUCCCAAGGGUAUGGCUGUUCGCCAUUUAAAGUGGUACGCGAGCUGGGUUUAGAACGUCGUGAGACAGUUCGGUCCCUAUCUGCCGUGGGCGCUGGAGAACUGAGGGGGGCUGCUCCUAGUACGAGAGGACCGGAGUGGACGCAUCACUGGUGUUCGGGUUGUCAUGCCAAUGGCACUGCCCGGUAGCUAAAUGCGGAAGAGAUAAGUGCUGAAAGCAUCUAAGCACGAAACUUGCCCCGAGAUGAGUUCUCCCUGAGACUUAGAGUCUCCUGAAGGAACGUUGAAGACGACGACGUUGAUAGGCCGGGUGUGUAAGCGCAGCGAUGCGUUGAGCUAACCGGUACUAAUGAACCGUGAGGCUUAACCUU
RNAcentral lists this ribosomal RNA (2907 nucleotides) under Salmonella enterica subsp. enterica serovar Newport. Its description in RNAcentral is "23S ribosomal RNA". It matches the Rfam family "Bacterial large subunit ribosomal RNA". RNAcentral also lists the same sequence under 1 other name. The record is from RNAcentral. Lineage: Bacteria; Pseudomonadati; Pseudomonadota; Gammaproteobacteria; Enterobacterales; Enterobacteriaceae.